This 74-nucleotide transfer RNA is filed under the name bacterium. RNAcentral's name for it is "tRNA-Val". It matches the Rfam family "tRNA". Rfam says of the family: Transfer RNA (tRNA) molecules are approximately 80 nucleotides in length. Their secondary structure includes four short double-helical elements and three loops (D, anti-codon, and T loops). The record is from RNAcentral.
GGACGAUUAGCUCAGUUGGUUAGAGCGUUGCGUUUACAUCGCAAAGGUCGCAGGUUCGAGACCUGCAUCGUCCA